AGUGAACGCUGGCGGUAGGCCUAACACAUGCAAGUCGAACGGCAGCACAGUAAGAGCUUGCUCUUACGGGUGGCGAGUGGCGGACGGGUGAGGAAUACAUCGGAAUCUACUUUUUCGUGGGGGAUAACGUAGGGAAACUUACGCUAAUACCGCAUACGACCUACGGGUGAAAGCAGGGGAUCUUCGGACCUUGCGCGAUUGAAUGAGCCGAUGUCGGAUUAGCUAGUUGGCGGGGUAAAGGCCCACCAAGGCGACGAUCCGUAGCUGGUCUGAGAGGAUGAUCAGCCACACUGGAACUGAGACACGGUCCAGACUCCUACGGGAGGCAGCAGUGGGGAAUAUUGGACAAUGGGCGCAAGCCUGAUCCAGCCAUACCGCGUGGGUGAAGAAGGCCUUCGGGUUGUAAAGCCCUUUGGUUGGGAAAGAAAAGCAGCAGGUUAAUACCCCGCUGUUCUGACGGUACCCAAAGAAUAAGCACCGGCUAACUUCGUG
Molecule: ribosomal RNA, 492 nt
Filed under: uncultured bacterium
Lineage: Bacteria
Description: partial 16S ribosomal RNA
Rfam family: Bacterial small subunit ribosomal RNA
Source: RNAcentral